CUCCUUGUGUUAAGGUGCAUCUAGUGCAGUUAGUGACAUAGCGUAGCAUCUACUGCCCUAAAUGCUCCUUUUGGCACAGGGU
Molecule: non-coding RNA, 82 nt
Organism: Xenopus laevis (African clawed frog)
Lineage: Eukaryota; Metazoa; Chordata; Amphibia; Anura; Pipidae
Source: Rfam